RNAcentral lists this ribosomal RNA (253 nucleotides) under uncultured bacterium. Its description in RNAcentral is "partial 16S ribosomal RNA". It matches the Rfam family "Bacterial small subunit ribosomal RNA", at positions 524 to 776 of the family's 1533-position model. The record is from RNAcentral.
AACGUAGGGUGCGAGCGUUAAUCGGAAUUACUGGGCGUAAAGCGUGCGCAGGCGGUUUUGUAAGCCAGAUGUGAAAUCCCCGGGCUUAACCUGGGAAUGGCAUUUGGGACUGCAAGGCUGGAGUGUGGCAGAGGAGACUGGAAUUCCUGGUGUAGCAGUGAAAUGCGUAGAUAUCAGGAGGAAUACCGAUGGCGAAGGCAGGUCUCUGGGCUGACACUGACGCUCAUGCACGAAAGCGUGGGGAGCAAACAGG